Molecule: ribosomal RNA, 322 nt
Filed under: Haemaphysalis sp. WX23
Lineage: Eukaryota; Metazoa; Arthropoda; Arachnida; Ixodida; Ixodidae
Description: partial large subunit ribosomal RNA
Source: RNAcentral
UCUGCUCAAUGAUUUUUUAAAUUGCUGUGGUAUUUUGACUAUACAAAGGUAUUGUAAUAAGACUUUAAUUGAGUGCUAAGAGAAUGGAAUUUCAGGAAAAAUCUUUUUUUAAAUUAAAAAUAGAAGUUAUUUUUAUUUGUGAAGAAACAAUAAUGUAAAUUUAGGACAAGAAGACCCUAUGAAUUUUUAUAUCUUUUAUAAAUUUAGGUGAAUAAAAGAUAUUUAAUUGGGGCGAUUAUAAAAUAUUUGUAACUUUUAUAAAGUAAAGUUGAUCCAUUAUUAAUGAUAAAAUGAAUAAAUACUCUAGGGAUAACAGCGUAAA